CGGGAAGAGCUCAAAUUUAGAAUCUGGCGCCUUCGGCGUCCGAGUUGUAAUUUAGAGAAGUGUUUUCCGUGCCGGACCGUGUACAAGUCUCCUGGAACGGAGCGUCAUAGAGGGUGAGAAUCCCGUCUUUGACACGGACCCCCGGUGCUCUGUGAUACACUCUCGAA
Molecule: ribosomal RNA, 167 nt
Filed under: Peniophora sp.
Lineage: Eukaryota; Fungi; Basidiomycota; Agaricomycetes; Russulales; Peniophoraceae
Description: partial large subunit ribosomal RNA
Rfam family: Eukaryotic large subunit ribosomal RNA
Source: RNAcentral